AGAGUUUGAUCAUGGCUCAGAACGAACGCUGGCGGCGUGCCUAACACAUGCAAGUCGAGCGAGAAAGGGGUAGCAAUACCCCGAGUAAAGCGGCGCACGGGUGAGUAACACGUAGGUAACCUACCUCUAAGACCGGGAUAACCCGUCGAAGGAUGGGCUAAUACCAGAUAAGACCACAGUCUCUUCGGAGAUCGGGGUCAAAGGUGGCCUCUGCAUGCAAGCUAUCACUUAGAGAUGGGCCUGCGCACCAUUAGCUAGUUGGUAGGGUAACGGCCUACCAAGGCAAAGAUGGUUAGCUGGUCUGAGAGGAUGACCAGCCACACUGGAACUGAGACACGGUCCAGACUCCUACGGGAGGCAGCAGUGGGGAAUCUUGCGCAAUGGGCGAAAGCCUGACGCAGCAACACCGUGUGGGUGAUGAAGGCCUUCGGGUCGUAAAGCCCUGUCGGAGGGAACGAAUGUCCCUGGGGUGAACAAUCCCAGGGAGUGACGGUACCCUCAAAGGAAGCACCGGCUAACUCCGUGCCAGCAGCCGCGGUAACACGGAGGGUGCGAGCGUUGUUCGGAAUCAUUGGGCGUAAAGGGCGUGUAGGUGGUCUGUUAAGUCAUGUGUGAAAGCCCUCAGCUCAACUGGGGAAGUGCGCAUGAAACUGACAGGCUAGAGUACCGAAGAGGAAGGUGGAAUUCCCGGUGUAGCGGUGAAAUGCGUAGAUAUCGGGAGGAACACCGGUGGCGAAGGCGGCCUUCUGGUCGGAUACUGACGCUAAAACGCGAAAGCGUGGGGAGCAAACAGGAUUAGAUACCCUAGUAGUCC
RNAcentral lists this ribosomal RNA (814 nucleotides) under uncultured bacterium. Its description in RNAcentral is "bacterial SSU rRNA". It matches the Rfam family "Bacterial small subunit ribosomal RNA", at positions 8 to 796 of the family's 1533-position model. The record is from RNAcentral.